GGAGAUUUAGCUCAGUGGUAGAGCACUUGCCUAGCAAGCACAAGGCCCUGGGUUCGGUCCCCAGCUCUG
Non-coding RNA from Rattus norvegicus (Norway rat), 69 nucleotides. NCBI's taxonomy places the organism in Eukaryota, Metazoa, Chordata, Mammalia, Rodentia, Muridae. The record is from Rfam.